GGGAAGUCCUCGUGUUGCACCCCUCCUUUUUGCCGCUUCUCCAUCCGGCCAGCCCCUCUGUCUUCCUUUCUUCUUUUUCUCUCCCCCGCCUCGCUUUCCUCCCCCGCUACCGAUAGGGCGGGGCUAGAGGCCGAAGGCUACUAGUCUUGUUCAGAAUGUCGUUUCGCUUCAAGAAACGAAAGGUCGACACCUAAUUCCACCAAGAAUUUGGAUUUGAACAGUAAAAGUCUACUUUUUAGAAGAAGAAGAAGAAGAAGAAGAAGAAGAAGAAGAAGAAGAAAGGAAGAAGACAAAAGAAACAACAAUCAAGGCGAAUAAAAAUCCGGGCGCGAUCCCACGGUCGGAUCGCGGGCUACGGCCCCUUUGAGCCGCCGCCCCUUUGCGGCGGCGGUGCCUGAACCGCCGGGGAUCCUCCUCUUCGAAGCGCUUAUAGCAAUUGCGCGUGCAUGGACUAACGGGUGCGAUCAUACCAGCAC
RNAcentral lists this ribosomal RNA (476 nucleotides) under Populus deltoides. Lineage: Eukaryota; Viridiplantae; Streptophyta; Magnoliopsida; Malpighiales; Salicaceae. The record is from RNAcentral.